CAUUCAAUGAUAUAAGCAGAUCAAAAACAAUGGGUGUUCUCUCAAGCUACUAGGCUACCCGACUUCGAAGAUACGCAACCGAUCAUGACAUAUUAUGAUUACAAGACGUUUCCUCUGACUUACCGCACUUCCUUCUCGACGUCGUUGACGUAGACACUCUGUUUUUACUCCUUACUCUUCAACCCAAUUGAAGAAGUGUCCAUCCCCUUCGUUAUCUAGUUCAAGUGACCGGUGGCCGACCGUUACCGAUUUGGCACAAACGAACGAAAAGAACAGUGACUUCAACUCUGAAGUCAUCACGACCAUAAAUGUCAAAUCGGGAUACGAACUAGGUGGGAUAACCGAGUCUUGACUUAAGUCGUGACGUUCACGAAGUAUCCUAAUCCCGACUGUGGCACCGUCAUUAACUACGUCAUACGAGAACAAUAACACAAAGAUAGAGAACAAUUGAAAUAGCUAGGUUGCUCAUGAACCUUCAACCUGCGCUCACUCCGACACGGCAAGACAAGGUCUGAAAUCUACAGCACAGAAGUUUUAAAGUAGCAGAAACAAAGUUGAGGUAGUCGUUAGGCCACCCUACAGUCUCGGUUAAUGGUUAAAGGGCGCUGAAUCAACAACACUUUUCAAAACUGAACCCUCAACAACUUUCGGUACGAACAAGCGGCACAGAAGAAUAGAACCUACUAUAUACAGUUUUUCCCUGAGUAUAGACUCUAGAAAGAUCUUCUAAAUUAAAUGUUUUAGAUAUCAAAAACAUAUGAGAAACUAUCCCACAUUUGAGAGCCUGCUCCUUUUACUAGGUACACUUUCUUAGGUGAUUCUCCGCCUCUUUUAAGCUCUGUAUACGUUCGUGUUGUGACCUUUCCUGGAACUCUCUCUCUUUUGUUAUGUUUGUCCAGGGCAUCUUGAAGUGGUACUCUGGAACAGUAGCGGGCUGCGGAAGGACCGAAGGAGGUAUCAGCUACCUCACGAGCAGUCUCCCCUUUGGCUCGUAGGAAAUGUAGUCCGUCCACUCCUCCUAGAAGUGAACAGGCGAGAACCUCCGG
This 1046-nucleotide ribosomal RNA is filed under the name Triticum aestivum (bread wheat). Its description in RNAcentral is "partial small subunit ribosomal RNA". Lineage: Eukaryota; Viridiplantae; Streptophyta; Magnoliopsida; Poales; Poaceae. The record is from RNAcentral.